UGCCAGCCGCCGCGGUAAUACGGAGGGGGUUAGCGUUGUUCGGAAUUACUGGGCGUAAAGCGCGCGUAGGCGGUUUUGUAAGUCGGAUGUGAAAUCCCCGGGCUUAACCUGGGAACUGCACUCGAUACUGCAUAACUAGAGUAUGGUAGAGGGAAGUGGAAUUUCCGGUGUAGCGGUGAAAUGCGUAGAUAUCGGAAGGAACACCAGUGGCGAAGGCGACUUCCUGGGCCAAUACUGACGCUGAGACGCGAAAGCGUGGGGAGCAAACAGGAUUAGAUA
RNAcentral lists this ribosomal RNA (279 nucleotides) under uncultured bacterium. RNAcentral describes it as "partial 16S ribosomal RNA". It matches the Rfam family "Bacterial small subunit ribosomal RNA", at positions 506 to 784 of the family's 1533-position model. The record is from RNAcentral.